This 74-nucleotide transfer RNA is filed under the name Thermoleophilia bacterium. RNAcentral's name for it is "tRNA-Pro". It matches the Rfam family "tRNA". Rfam says of the family: Transfer RNA (tRNA) molecules are approximately 80 nucleotides in length. Their secondary structure includes four short double-helical elements and three loops (D, anti-codon, and T loops). Further hydrogen bonds mediate the characteristic L-shaped molecular structure. tRNAs have two regions of fundamental functional importance: the anti-codon, which is responsible for specific mRNA codon recognition, and the 3' end, to which the tRNAs corresponding amino acid is attached (by aminoacyl-tRNA synthetases). tRNAs cope with the degeneracy of the genetic code in two manners: having more than one tRNA (with a specific anti-codon) for a particular amino acid; and 'wobble' base-pairing, i.e. permitting non-standard base-pairing at the 3rd anti-codon position. RNAcentral also lists the same sequence under 3 other names. Lineage: Bacteria; Bacillati; Actinomycetota; Thermoleophilia. The record is from RNAcentral.
CGGGACGUGGCGCAGCCUGGUAGCGCACCGCCUUUGGGUGGCGGGGGUCCCCGGUUCGAAUCCGGGCGUCCCGA